AUGAACGCUGGCGGCGUGCUUAACACCUGCCAGUCGAACGGGAAACCUUUUAUUGAAGCUUCGGCAGAUUUAGCUGGUUUCUAGUGGCGGACGGGUGAGUAACGCGUGGGUAACCUGCCUUAUACAGGGGGAUAACAACCAGAAAUGGUUGCUAAUACCGCAUACGCGCACAGGACCGCAUGGUCCGGUGUGAAAAACUCCGGUGGUAUAAGAUGGACCCGCGUUGGAUUAGCUAGUUGGCAGGGUAACGGCCUACCAAGGCGACGAUCCAUAGCCGGCCUGAGAGGGUGAACGGCCACAUUGGGACUGAGACACGGCCCAGACUCCUACGGGAGGCAGCAGUGGGGAAUAUUGCACAAUGGGGGAAACCCUGAUGCAGCGACGCCGCGUGAAGGAAGAAGUAUCUCGGUAUGAAAACUUCUAUCAGCAGGGAAGAUAGUGACGGUACCUGACUAAGAAGCCCCGGCUAACUACGUG
This 477-nucleotide ribosomal RNA is filed under the name uncultured bacterium. RNAcentral describes it as "partial 16S ribosomal RNA". It matches the Rfam family "Bacterial small subunit ribosomal RNA", at positions 29 to 507 of the family's 1533-position model. The record is from RNAcentral.